GUUUAUCAAAAACAUGGCCUUCCGCAUGUACUUGUAUGUAUAGUAUUCACGGGAGGUCACACUUGCACAAUGGCCUACGGGUUCAAUUGCCGCGGUAACCUGACCGUGCAAAGGUAGCGUAAUCAAUAGCCUAUUAAUUGUUGGCCUGUAUGAAUGGUACGACGCUGGUGGCGCUGUCUCAGUUGCAUUAAUUUGAACUUAACUUCUGGGUGAAAAGGCCCAGAUAAAUCUGAAAGACGAUUAGACCCUAUCGAACUUUAGGUAGAACAGCCGUCAGGUCGCCCAGCAGUGGUAGUGUCUGUCUGUUGCUAAAACCUUUGGUUGGGGUAACCGGGACCAAGAAAAACGCCCCCCCUCCUUUGAAAGUAGACACCCGUAUGAUAAAGGUAAUAGAGACUUUACCUUUAGGGCAAUUGGCCUUCAGGAAAGUAAUUUUCUUAUAGUUAAAAAAGAGUCUGACAAGACAUAGCUUACUUAUAGAAUGAACCUAAAGAACUGAUUUCUAUCGGUUAGCUGUUAAUAGGGAAGAGUUACCGUAGGGAUAACAGCGUAAUCCUCCCGGCGAGACCACAUUAAGGGGAGGUUUGCGACCUCGAUGUUGGCUUAGGCUUCCUAGAAGUGCAGGGCUUCUAAGGUUGGUCUGUUCGACCAUUAAAGCCUUACGUGAUCUGAGUUCAG
RNAcentral lists this ribosomal RNA (678 nucleotides) under Lottia paradigitalis. RNAcentral's name for it is "partial 16S ribosomal RNA". It matches the Rfam family "Bacterial large subunit ribosomal RNA", at positions 1802 to 2614 of the family's 2925-position model. Lineage: Eukaryota; Metazoa; Mollusca; Gastropoda; Lottiidae. The record is from RNAcentral.